This 76-nucleotide transfer RNA is filed under the name Anaerolineales bacterium. Its description in RNAcentral is "tRNA-Glu". It matches the Rfam family "tRNA". From Rfam's summary of the family: Transfer RNA (tRNA) molecules are approximately 80 nucleotides in length. Their secondary structure includes four short double-helical elements and three loops (D, anti-codon, and T loops). The record is from RNAcentral. Lineage: Bacteria; Bacillati; Chloroflexota; Anaerolineae; Anaerolineales.
GCCCCCAUCGUCUAGGGGACCAGGACGCGACCCUUUCAAGGUCAAAACCGGAGUUCGAAUCUCCGUGGGGGCACAA